This is a small nucleolar RNA of Stegastes partitus (bicolor damselfish), 138 nucleotides long. The record is from Ensembl. Lineage: Eukaryota; Metazoa; Chordata; Actinopteri; Pomacentridae.
AGCACUGUGUGGUAUCUGCAGCCAGCUGGUCAUCAGCUGGUUUGUUCAAAAGCCAGUGCUAGAAGAAGUCAACCUCUGGCAUCGUUGGUCUCCAUGACACUGUGUCUGGAGUCCUGGUAUGGGUGUUGAGACACAGCA